CGGGUGAGUAAUGCUUGGGAAUCUAGCUUAUGGAGGGGGAUAACUACGGGAAACUGUAGCUAAUACCGCGUAAUAUCGAAAGAUUAGAGUGUGGGACCUUCGGGCCACAUGCCAUAGGAUGAGCCCAAGUGGGAUUAGGUAGUUGGUGAGGUAAAGGCUCACCAAGCCGACGAUCUCUAGCUGGUCUGAGAGGAUGACCAGCCACACUGGGACUGAGACACGGCCCAG
RNAcentral lists this ribosomal RNA (228 nucleotides) under uncultured bacterium. Its description in RNAcentral is "partial 16S ribosomal RNA". It matches the Rfam family "Bacterial small subunit ribosomal RNA", at positions 103 to 334 of the family's 1533-position model. The record is from RNAcentral.